Long non-coding RNA from Onychostoma macrolepis, 795 nucleotides. RefSeq lists it as uncharacterized. NCBI's taxonomy places the organism in Eukaryota, Metazoa, Chordata, Actinopteri, Cypriniformes, Cyprinidae. The record is from RefSeq and is a predicted model, not a curated record. The transcript has 3 exons.
CGUUUGAUUCAAAAUGCUGUAUUAUUUGUAGACUAUUGAGUGCUAUUUAAGAGCUGUACUUAAUAUGAAGGGUGCAAAUCUCUACCAGCAAAACCAUUACACCACAGGUGUCAUUUUAAAUAGCACAAGGGAGCAGAUGGCAUGGCAAAGAUUGCGAAAAGUGAGAGCAGCUCCUUAUGAUUCUUAAUUUUUACAUGUACAGUACACAGACAUGAUUAUGCAUAUUUCUGAUAAACAGGUCAACUUUGAGCAAUAUGAUGGGCUCAUCACUUUCGUAAAUAUCAACAACAUACACUAGAGGUUUGCGGUAAGUAAAAAGACUGCAAAUACAAAUGUUAAGCUAGUACAUGUAAACAUGGACAUGCCCAUAUAGAAAUGUUUGAUCUUUUCAGCGACAUUUGAUUGACUUAGUAGUUAUAAUUUAUUUGUUUCCUUUUCUCCAUUUUAGUGACUACAUGCUUACACUGACACCAUUUUUAAUACUUGACCCUCAAAGUGGUACAAAUUAAAUGAAAGAAGCCAAAAAAGCCUGCAAAUACCUUUGGUAGGACAGUUUGUUUUAAAAAAGAAUUUUUCCAAAUGAGAAAAAACAAGUAUGGAAGAGAGGACUUGGUGAGUACCAAGUGGAAACCUGGCACAAUCCAACAUUCAUUUCAGGAGGAUGGUUCCAGCUGUGGUGUCUUUGUGAUGCUGAUGGCGAAACCGGUGGUGGAAGAGUUCCCAAAAAUUCCUGACAGCAUUAAUAUAAGGAGAUGAUGUGCCACUACAGGAAAAAUGUGGCUAAUGAAAUUUUGC